This 1558-nucleotide long non-coding RNA is filed under the name Phasianus colchicus (ring-necked pheasant). RNAcentral's name for it is "lncRNA (ENSPCLG00000016233.1)". Lineage: Eukaryota; Metazoa; Chordata; Aves; Galliformes; Phasianidae. The record is from RNAcentral.
CCUCUUCCUGCAGUGCCAGGCGGUGAGAGCCGGCAGGCAGCGAACGAAAGGGAGACGGGGAGCCUCGAUCCUGGAGCAGGCUGCUCUCCUCCCAUCCUUCGUUCUUCUCUUCACAGCACACGCAUGGGUACCCCCGAGUAAUUAAUUCACUCGAAACUGGGGCUGUAAUUCAAGCACUUUCCCAGUUCUGCUCUAUCACCCAGAAUCUGUAACUGCGUGCUUGUACGCAGCACGGGGCUGUAGUCCUGGCACUCUGAUGCACUGGUGCACCCUACUUUAGGGCUGGCAGCGCUUAACUGUAACUAGUCCCACUUCCCCUGCUAUCCACAGCACUGAUAGAGACCUGGGUUGGUACAGUCUGGCAUUCUUUCAUGGAUACCCUUGGUGGCCAUGGGAGAAAGAGCCAGUGACACCAAGAGGCAUUGCUUUUCCACACAGCGAGCCAAGCUGCUCCCUUCUGCCAUGGUGUGCCCACAAGCCAUCCGGAGCUCCUUGAACCACAAAACCUACAUCCACCUCCCUGCUGCCCCGCUGUGCCAGAACGAGCAGUUAACACAUGUCUAGAAUACACACAGCUUUGCGUGCUGCUGCAGCUUGUCUUUUCUAGGUCGGUACCGAGUUAGUCAUCCCAGUGUCUGGAGAUGCAGCCACAUACCUCCAUAUUUUUAGAUAUUUUUUAUCUCUCUGCUAAGUAAGCCACUUUCCUCCCAGCUUCUCUAGUCGAGCAGCAGCAUUUAUAUCCUACAGGCAUUUUCUUCAGCCCGUGUUAAUUUUGAAGUUCCCCAGCUUUCACAGCCUGUUUCAUCAGUAGCCUCACGUCAGCAAUUAGCAAAGCAGGUGCAGCCCAAGUGAUAAAGACCCCAGCAGCUACACCUCCGCAUCCCCGAGAACCAGCAGUCUCCCGUUCUCAGAGCCUGCUCCAACCGAGAUACGUCACGGACUUAAGAAGUUCUAGCUGUGUGCAUUAGACACUGCAUCUAACUGCGAUCCCGAUGUCGGGAGGAAGUUCAGGACACCGCUUUUCUCACACCCCGUGCCCGCCUGCCCUCUGUCGGUGUUGGGACAGCGCGUCUCUCCGCCAGGGCUGCUGGCACUGCUGGUGCUGGGAAGCAGCUACUUGCGCCGUCCUGCCCCGUCUCGCUCUUUCAGAAACCCUGCACCACAAAGAGAUGAGGAUGAAAAAGAGUAAAUGCUACCACAAGCAAGCCAAAGCGUCCAGUAAAAUGCCUUCCUCUCCCUAAAUACUGCUUCAGAGUUGGUGAACCUCUGAAAAACCACACGUUGCUAUUUCAUCCUGAAAGGCAAAUCCAUUAUAGCUGGUUGGUGGAAAAUGACCCACACUGACGACACGUUUCUUCUCAGGAAGAUAAAGGCAGGCACACGGUGCCCACUGCCUCUUUGCAGGAGCAGCCAGCGUUACCUUCCAGAGCCAUUUACGUGCAUGCUGCUUUCUGAAUGAUGGUUGUAGAGAAAUCAUUUCAGUGCUGAACGUGCCAGUAGUGUUUACAAUUCUGCAUUUGUAAAGGGCAAAUAAAUUCACACAACUUCAUGAAUAUCA